Molecule: ribosomal RNA, 2248 nt
Filed under: Iathrippa trilobatus
Lineage: Eukaryota; Metazoa; Arthropoda; Malacostraca; Isopoda; Janiridae
Description: SSU rRNA
Rfam family: Eukaryotic small subunit ribosomal RNA
Source: RNAcentral
UAUCUGGUUGAUCCUGCCAGUAGUCAUAUGCUUGUCUCAAAGAUUAAGCCAUGCAUGUCUGAGUACAGACCGAUCUAAGGUGAAACCGCGAAUGGCUCAUUAAGUCAGUCAUAAUUCCUUGGAUAGUGAAAAACCUUCCUCGGAUAACUGUGGAAAAUCCAGAGCUAAUACGUGCAACUGAGCUCCGACCCCGACGCAAGUCGAGGGAAGAGCGCAUUUAUUAGAUUCAAAAACUGACCGGCGUACUCCCGAGGGAUGCUGCGCCGCUUGUCAAACUUGAUGACUCCGGAUAACUUAGCCGAGCGCUACGGUCUCCGUACCGGCGCCGUAUCUUUCAAGUGUCUGCCUUAUCAGCUUUCGAUUGUAGGUUAAACGCCUACAAUGGCUGUAACGGGUAACGGGGAAUCAGGGUUCGAUUCCGGAGAGGGAGCCUGAGAAACGGCUACCACAUCUAAGGAAGGCAGCAGGCACGCAACAUUACGCCACUCCUCAGCCCGGGGAGGUAGUGACGAAAAAUAACGAGUGCGAGACUCUUCCGAGGCCUCGCAAUCGGAAUGAGUCCAUUCUAAAUCCUUGGACGAGGGAUCCAUUGGAGGGCAAGUCUGGUGCCAGCAGCCGCGGUAAUUCCAGCUCCAAUAGCGUAUAUUAAAGUUGCUGCGGUUAAAAAGCUCGUAGUUGGAAUCUCCUAGAUCCAAUUCGCGGUCGGGUCGCUCUUUGUACGCGCGUCCUAUGCGGUCUCUUGGAGGUGGCCCUAAUGUCUCUCGCUCGGCUCCUUUUCGCUUCGAGGUAGUCUCGCGCUCCUUCUUUCUCGUUUUCGCCGACGCGUCAAUGGGUUUGAGGGGCCGAGGAGCGCCGAAAUUCGAUUUGGUCUCGUCGAUGUCGUAGCAGUCUCGGUGUCUAUCCUUCUUGUGGACGGUAGGGCGUAGUCUUCGAGUAUAGCCCGUCCGCGAUUGGUACAAUUAAAAUUUUGUCGGCUCGCUCGGAGUGCUCUUUGCCGAGUGUUCCAGGGUGGCCGACACGUUCACUUUGAAAAAAUUAGAGUGCUUAAAGCGGGCCGAAAAGUCGCCUGAAUGUUGUUGCAUGGAAUGAAGGAACAGGACCUCGGUUCUGUUCUUUUUGUCGGUUUUAUUGAACCGAGGUAAUGAUUAAAAGGAACAGACGGUGGCAUUAGUAUUACGACGCUAGAGGUGAAAUUCUUGGACCGUCGUAAGACUAACUACUGCGAAAGCAUUUUGCCGAGAAUGUUUUCAUUAAUCAAGAACGAAAGUUAGAGGAUCGAAGGCGAUCAGAUACCGCCCUAGUUCUAACCCUAAACUAUGCUAACUAGCGAUCCGCCGGAGUCAUUCCCACGACCCGGCGGGAAGUCCCCAGGGAAACCAAAGUCUUUGAGUUCCGGGGGAAGUAUGGUUGCAAAGCUGAAACUUAAAGGAAUUGACGGAAGGGCACCACCAGGAGUGGAGCCUGCGGCUUAAUUUGACUCAACACGGGAAACCUCACCAGGCCCGGACAUCAAAAGGAUUGACAGAUUGAGAGCUCUUUCUCGAUUCGAUGGGUGGUGGUGCAUGGCCGUUCUUAGUUGGUGGAGUGAUCUGUCUGGUUGAUUCCGAUAACGAACGAGACUCUACCCUACUAACUAGUCGGCGGAUCGUAACCCUGAGAUGGGGGGAGCCGAAGCGUGCUAAAGCGUUCGCUUUUUCGCUCUCGUGGGUUGGCGAGGUCGGGCGUUUCUCUCUCGGGAGUGCGUUCGGCUUUGUCGCUCGUGGGUGGCGUGGAGCGUUUCGCCCGUAUCGUCUAGGUGACUCUUACUGGGGGCGUCCGUCGCAAUGUAUCUUCUUAGAGGGAUCAGCGGCGUCUAGCNACGAGAAAGUGCAAUAACAGGUCUGUGAUGCCCUUAGAUGUUCUGGGCCGCACGCGCGCUACAAUGUAGGGCUCAGCGUGCCUUCCCUCUCCGAAAGGAGCGGGUAACCCGUUGAAACCCCUACCCGAUUGGGAUUGGGGAUUGCAAAUGUUUCCCAUAAACGAGGAAUUCCCAGUAAGCGCGAGUCGUUAACUCGCGCUGAUUACGUCCCUGCCCUUUGUACACACCGCCCGUCGCUACUACCGAUUGAAUGAUUCGGUGAGGGCAUCGGACUGGCGCCUUCGGUUGCGAUACACCUUAGGCUGACGGAAAGAUGUCCGAACUGGAUCAUUUAGAGGAAGUAAAAGUCGUAACAAGGUUUCCGUAGUGAAACCUGCGGAAGGAUCAUUA